RNAcentral lists this long non-coding RNA (328 nucleotides) under Mytilus galloprovincialis (Mediterranean mussel). The record is from RNAcentral. Lineage: Eukaryota; Metazoa; Mollusca; Bivalvia; Mytilida; Mytilidae.
AAAGAGCUGGCAUUGUUUACAUGUCUCCAAUCUAGAACAAGCCUUUGGCUUUGGUUGAUACAUGUGAUACUUUUGGAUCGGGUAGGGAACUGUCGGACUGGUCUGAUGUGUCGAAUCCUAAUGGUUUUUUAUAUAUUUUUUUUGGUGUAGUUGAAAGGUAAAAUCUUAACAAAGAUAUUCCAAUGUUGUCAUACCAUUCCUCAAUUCUUUCAUUUGAUUUAAUUAAUUGAUGUGAAAAAUCUCAGUUCUAAAUCAAAUUCGUUCAUAUUUCGUAUCUUGCUCAUUCCACCAGGGAAAAUACUGCCUUGGCUUUGACCAUGACUUCAUC